This 611-nucleotide unclassified non-coding RNA is filed under the name Hevea brasiliensis (rubber tree). The record is from RNAcentral. Lineage: Eukaryota; Viridiplantae; Streptophyta; Magnoliopsida; Malpighiales; Euphorbiaceae.
GCUGGUGAUGUUCAUGCAGUUUCAAUAAAAGGGUCAAGAACUGGAUGGCUACCCAUGUCAAGAAACUGGGGUCAAAACUGGCAAAGCAACGCAUUCCUCAACGGACAAUGCCUCUCGUUUAAGGUGACAACUAGUGAUGGCCGCGUUGUAGUCGCUAACGAUGUUGCACCUGCUGGGUGGUCCUUCGGCCAGACCUUCACAGGCCAACAGUUCGCUUAAUUACAUCUGAAAAACCAGACCAACCAAUUGCUGCAUAACUCAGCAAAUCAUACAUGGGGAAGGGUGUUAGUUUUGAUGUCAGAAAAUUUGACAGGGCUUAGUUUACAAUGUGGUCCUUGUCAAUUGUCGUUUCUAGAUUUCAUUGUGAUGUAGGUUUAGUUCUGUUCUGCCAUCUUUGAAAAGGCAGGUAGACAGGAAAUUUAGCAGUGGUGGACAUUUACCACCCGCAAUUUCAUUUUCUUUUUAGUUUCUUUGGUUAUUUGUGGAAAGCAAAUUUGGUCGCUCAUGCAGCCACUAUAACCAGCCUUUUGCUGGUUGCUGGAUGUCCUACAAUGGUGUUGUGACUUCUCCAUCUAUUAGUACUAUUAUUAAUAAAAAGCGUGCGUACAAUU